RNAcentral lists this ribosomal RNA (468 nucleotides) under uncultured bacterium. RNAcentral describes it as "partial 16S ribosomal RNA". It matches the Rfam family "Bacterial small subunit ribosomal RNA", at positions 28 to 507 of the family's 1533-position model. The record is from RNAcentral.
GACGAACGCUGGCGGCGUGCUUAACACAUGCAAGUCGAACGGAAAGGCCCUGCUUUUGUGGGGUGCUCGAGUGGCGAACGGGUGAGUAACACGUGAGUAACCUGCCCUUGACUUUGGGAUAACUUCAGGAAACUGGGGCUAAUACCGGAUAGGAGCUCCUGCUGCAUGGUGGGGGUUGGAAAGUUUCGGCGGUUGGGGAUGGACUCGCGGCUUAUCAGCUUGUUGGUGGGGUAGUGGCUUACCAAGGCUUUGACGGGUAGCCGGCCUGAGAGGGUGACCGGCCACAUUAGGACUGAGAUACGGCCCAGACUCCUACGGGAGGCAGCAGUGGGGAAUAUUGCAGAAUGGGCGGAAGCCUGAUGCAGCAACGCCGCGUGCGGGAUGACGGCCUUCGGGUUGUAAACCGCUUUCGCCUGUGACGAAGCGUGAGUGACGGUAAUGGGUAAAGAAGCACCGGCUAACUACGUG